CGGCCGCAGUUCAGCUCCCGGAGUACACUGCCGGACUGCCGCCAAAGCUUCAGGGGCGGCCGGGUGGCUUCGACGGCGGCCAGACUGCGGUAGAAGCUUCGGCGGCAGUUCGGCGGGGGUAGCUCGGCGGCAGGGGCGCCGAAACUGACUAGCUCGUUUGGUCACUGUAGGCGGGGUACCAGAGACCCAAAACAACACACCAAAUCCCAGGAAAAGUGUUGUUUUCAUAAUAUGUCCACUUUAAGUCAUUAGUUCCAAAUUCUUUCUGGGUUGCUUGUCAGGCAAAACAAGUCUGGUAACUUGUCUGGAGUAUUUUGUUAACUAACUAAUUCUAAACAUAAUUCUUAUAUAAUCAACAAAAAAAAAGGAAAAGGCAAAUAAUUAUUUGAAAUCCUACUUGCAUUAAUUGUUUUUUACUAGCAAGUGACACAA
Long non-coding RNA from Gadus macrocephalus (Pacific cod), 432 nucleotides. RefSeq lists it as uncharacterized. The record is from RefSeq and is a predicted model, not a curated record. NCBI's taxonomy places the organism in Eukaryota, Metazoa, Chordata, Actinopteri, Gadiformes, Gadidae. The transcript is spliced from 2 exons.